This 431-nucleotide ribosomal RNA is filed under the name uncultured bacterium. Its description in RNAcentral is "partial 16S ribosomal RNA". It matches the Rfam family "Bacterial small subunit ribosomal RNA", at positions 29 to 507 of the family's 1533-position model. The record is from RNAcentral.
AACGAACGCUGGCGGCAGGCUUAACACAUGCAAGUCGAGCGCCCCGCAAGGGGAGCGGCCGACGGGUGAGUAACGCGUGGGAACGUACCUUUUGGUUCGGAACAACUCCGGGAAACUGGAGCUAAUACCGGAUAAGCCCUAACGGGGAAAGAUUUAUCGCCGAAAGAUCGGCCCGCGUCUGAUUAGCUAGUUGGUGAGGUAACGGCUCACCAAGGCGACGAUCAGUAGCUGGUCUGAGAGGAUGAUCAGCCACACUGGGACUGGGACACGGCCCAGACUCCUACGGGAGGCAGCAGUGGGGAAUAUUGGACAAUGGGCGCAAGCCUGAUCCAGCCAUGCCGCGUGAGUGAUGAAGGCCUUAGGGUUGUAAAGCUCUUUUGUCCGGGAAGAUAAUGACUGUACCGGAAGAAUAAGCCCCGGCUAACUUCGUG